Molecule: ribosomal RNA, 370 nt
Filed under: uncultured crenarchaeote
Lineage: Archaea; Thermoproteati; Thermoproteota
Description: bacterial SSU rRNA
Rfam family: Archaeal small subunit ribosomal RNA
Source: RNAcentral
GCGGGCCGUGAGAGCGGGAGCCCGGAGAUGGGCACUGAGACAAGGGCCCAGGCCCUACGGGGCGCAGCAGUCGCGAAAACUUUGCAAUAAGCGAAAGUGUGACAGGGCUAUCCCGAGUGCCAUCCGCUGAGGAAGGCUUUUACCCAGUCUAGAACGCUGGGGGAAUAAGGAGAGGGCAAGUCUGGUGUCAGCCGCCGCGGUAAUACCAGCUCUCCGAGUGGUGUGGAUGUUUAUUGGGCCUAAAGCACCCGUAGCUGGCUAAGUUAGUCCCUUGUUAAAUCCACCGAAUUAAUCGUUGGAUUGCGGGGGAUACUGCUUGGCUAGGGGACGAGAGAGGCAGACGGUAUUUCCGGGUAGGGUGAAAUCCUAU